UCAUCUGCAGCAUCAAAAUUACUAUUUUGUGCUUAGCUUAGAUAUGAAACUUUUUUUUUUUUUUUUUUUAAUUAAAUUUACUAUUUAUUUCUGUCAUCUGAGACACAAAGUUAAAAUGCGGAUGCUGUAACGGCACGAUUCCGAUUAUCAGAGUUGAGGGUAUUUUGUCCUCUGGAGUUCCAUGUACCGUGUAAAAGCGAGAUGCCAAAAAAAAGGAGCAAAAAUGAUGGGCCCCAAAGUUGCAGCGCAGAACACGUCCGAUGACUAUUUGGAGCAGUUCCUUUUUAAUCAACUCUGUAAAAGCUGAUCUUUUGGCAUUAUAUAACAUACAGUGACAGACGCCACCUGCAGCGAAACACGAUCACGGUGUGGCCACAAUGGAAGCUGUUCAUCUCAGCAUGGCUCGCAGCCAAAGAGCUGUUGAAUUUGCCUAGAGCCUGGGUGGUGGCCCAGGGGUACGAGAAAGGCUUGGACCUCCUGGCUGCAAGUGCCUUCGUUCACUGUUCUCGAACACUUACCUGACACAUUGUAGACGGUGGAUUCCAAGAAAGGAUAUGAUUCCAAAGCUGUUUUUUUUUUUUUCUUUUUUCUUCCAGUUUCAGACACCAAAACCUGGCCGCUUGUGACCGCUUAAUGACUCCAUCUUUCAGGCAAAGCGGAAAAAAACUCGUUUAUUAAUGAAGGGUUGGAAUGAUGCCUCAAACUGGGCGGUACAUUGGAGAGGCUUCCUCUGCUCCUCUGCGAGACUUGAACGCUGUCCAGUGAUGGAUGCUGCCACUUAGAACUUACCAUCCUGGUCUCCACACCGUGCUUCGAUAUGGCUUUCUGGCCAGGAUGCAGCCUGCAUCACGGCUUUGGACUAAAGGGAUUGGUUUUUGGAUCAUCACCCUGAUCCGGGUUGGAUGAGCAGACAGCACCGGAGGGUGGAUGAAUAGAUUUAUCAGCUAUUGUCCUGUCAUAGCUGAAGUUCCGAAACAUGCAACAUUAAAAUGUCUACAUUUAUUUCUGACACCACAGCACCUUCUUGAACCCAUGCAUGAGGUGAUAUAGUCCUAAUGAGUGCUUAAACCCUGGAGCCCCAUCUAGCCAGCUUUGUUACAGUACUACUGCUGCGUCUCUCUUUGGUGUUAUGACUUCUUACAGCUGAGGUCCUCAACCUUUUAUAAGCCAUGGUUUCCUUUAAGAAUUUGAUGAAAGCUAAGAACCCCCUCAUGGAAAAAUGUCCAUAAAUAAAUGGGAGAAAAUAUCGUAACA
RNAcentral lists this long non-coding RNA (1254 nucleotides) under Scleropages formosus (Asian bonytongue). Its description in RNAcentral is "lncRNA (ENSSFOG00015024487.1)". Lineage: Eukaryota; Metazoa; Chordata; Actinopteri; Osteoglossiformes; Osteoglossidae. The record is from RNAcentral.